UCCGAGGCUCAAGUCAUACCCAGGUACUGGCUGUGGCCUUCUUGGGCCAGAGACCUUGAAGGAUAACUGUGGACCUUAUUGACUGUCUGUGAACUUUCUGACAGUCAGUCACCAGGUCAGUGGCAUGC
Small nucleolar RNA from Microtus ochrogaster (prairie vole), 128 nucleotides. NCBI's taxonomy places the organism in Eukaryota, Metazoa, Chordata, Mammalia, Rodentia, Cricetidae. The record is from Ensembl.